Long non-coding RNA from Oreochromis aureus, 1018 nucleotides. RefSeq lists it as uncharacterized. NCBI's taxonomy places the organism in Eukaryota, Metazoa, Chordata, Actinopteri, Cichliformes, Cichlidae. The record is from RefSeq and is a predicted model, not a curated record. The transcript has 3 exons.
AUUUGGUGUAUUACGGUAGCACAAACGGUUUGCAAGCUACCGCUCUUGGAAAAGAAAAGCCAACUCCACUUAGAUGCGCUUCGCACUAGCGCAACUCCUCGACCAUUUGGGCAAGAGAGACAUUUCAAACAGUGACUAAAAAACAAGAAAACGAGCUUUACGGAACUUUAUGGUGCAUCAUUAGGAAGCACGAGCUGUGACGGUCCAAUCACAUAUUUUAUUCUGUACCUCUCUGAUGUCUCUGUUCAGUGUGAAGCUGCAGCCUGUUACCUGAGCUCUACACCUAGCCUGCAGCCUCGUUAUCACUGCACCAGUUUUGCAGGGAAGCGUAGAAAGGAAAGAGGAGGAGAGAGAGUGGACUCAAACUCAGGCUUCUGCACUUCAGACGUAAGGCAUAGGGACACCUGCUUAACCGAACCAGCCAAACCAAAGCCCUAAGUAAGGCCUUUCUGUCAGUACUGGGAGCACUGAGGCACCAUGAGAUACUUUACAGCACUCGCCAAUUUAUAUUUAUUCAUCAAGCAGCAGCAGCCCCCUUGAUAGCAGUCACCUUCAAUCACCACAGUCAGCUGCUUUGUGUACACAUGUGGAAGUUUCUGUUAUGGCUUGACUACUCUUCUAACAUCUGUUUUAGUUGUCAUUUGGAAAUGUGUGCUUAAGAAAGUGUGUCCCGUCCAAAGACAGUAAAAAAAAUGGAGAAAGCUUCAGGGUCUGAAAAGUGAAGCCAGCUCGAAGGUGCGUUAAACCUGAAUUACUUUUUCAUGUCCACCAGGGGGCGACACCUGUGGCUGCAGAAAGACCUCUUGUCCCAUAUAAUUCAAUGGCAAGACAGUCCUCAGAGCUGAUCCCUGUAAACACUUUGCUGAUAAGUUUAUGGGCUCUGUCAGCGAUUUCAGCCCAUACUGAAUAAAACAUUAAAUACAUUUUGUUUUAGAAAGGAGGAUAAUCCAGGAUACGCUCAUCUCAUCUUUGUGGUCCUGAUGUAAAUUCUUAACAAACCAGUCAAGAUGUAUUAGCA